This 253-nucleotide ribosomal RNA is filed under the name uncultured bacterium. RNAcentral's name for it is "partial 16S ribosomal RNA". It matches the Rfam family "Bacterial small subunit ribosomal RNA", at positions 524 to 776 of the family's 1533-position model. The record is from RNAcentral.
UACGUAGGUGGCAAGCGUUGUCCGGAUUUAUUGGGUUUAAAGGGUGCGUAGGCGGCUUAUUAAGUCAGUGGUGAAAUACUCUAGCUCAACUAGAGGGGUGCCAUUGAUACUGAUGAGCCUGAGUACAGAUGAGGUAGGCGGAAUUGACGGUGUAGCGGUGAAAUGCUUAGAUAUCGUCAAGAACACCUAUAGCGAAGGCAGCUUACUAGGCUGUAACUGACGCUGAGGCACGAAAGUGUGGGGAUCAAACAGG